UCAACAGAGGGAAGCGAAGCCGCGAGGCGGAGCAAACCCCAGAAAUAACGUCCCAGUUCGGACUGCAGCCUGCAACCCGGCUGCACGAAGCUGGAAUCGCUAGUAAUCGCGGAUCAGAAUGCCGCGGUGAAUACGUUCCCGGGUCUUGUACACACCGCCCGUCACACCAUGGGAGUCAGUAACGCCCGAAGCCGGUGACCCAACCAAACGGAGGGAGCCGUCGAAGGUGGGACCGAUAACUGGGGUGAAGUCGUAACAAGGUAUC
RNAcentral lists this ribosomal RNA (265 nucleotides) under uncultured bacterium. RNAcentral describes it as "partial 16S ribosomal RNA". It matches the Rfam family "Bacterial small subunit ribosomal RNA", at positions 1236 to 1500 of the family's 1533-position model. The record is from RNAcentral.